RNAcentral lists this unclassified non-coding RNA (1273 nucleotides) under Hevea brasiliensis (rubber tree). The record is from RNAcentral. Lineage: Eukaryota; Viridiplantae; Streptophyta; Magnoliopsida; Malpighiales; Euphorbiaceae.
GAUUUCCACAUUGCUCAUGGAGGGAAGAUGGUGCCAUUUGCUGGAUGGAGUAUGCCUAUUCAGUACAAGGACUCGAUCAUGGACUCUACUAUAAAUUGUAGAGAGCAUGGUAGCCUCUUUGAUGUCUCCCAUAUGUGUGGACUGAGCCUCAAUGGAAAGGACUGUAUUCCUUUUCUUGAGAAACUUGUUAUUGCUGAUGUUGCUGGCCUUGCACCUGGAACUGGGACCCUAACUGUCUUUACAAACGAGAAGGGGGGAGCAAUUGAUGAUUCAGUGAUCACCAAGGUGACAGAUGAUCACAUAUACUUAGUUGUGAAUGCAGGAUGUAGGGAUAAGGAUCUGGCUCACAUUGAGGAGCAUAUGAAGUCAUUCAAGGCAAAAGGUGGUCAAGUCUCAUGGCACAUCCACGAUGAAAGAUCUCUUCUUGCUCUCCAGGGUCCUCUUGCUGCUCCAGUUCUUCAACACCUGACAAAAGAGGAUUUGAGCAAGAUAUACUUUGGGGAGUUCCGUAUGCUAGACAUCAAUGGAUCGCACUGCUUUCUCACUAGGACAGGGUACACUGGUGAAGAUGGGUUUGAAAUCUCAGUUCCUUCAGAGAAUGCUGUCGAUCUUGCAAAAGCAAUCUUAGACAAAUCUGAAGGAAAAGUAAGGCUGACAGGGUUGGGUGCACGAGACAGCCUUCGACUUGAAGCUGGGCUGUGUUUAUAUGGCAAUGACAUGGAACAACACACAACACCAGUAGAGGCAGGAUUGACUUGGGCAAUAGGGAAAAGACGAAAGGCUGAAGGUGGCUUUCUUGGUGCUGAGGUGAUUCUUAAACAACUUGCAGAGGGUCCAAAAAUCAGGCGUGUAGGAUUUUCAUCUUCUGGUCCACCUCCUAGAUCCCACAGUGAGAUUCAGGAUGAAAAAGGAACAAACAUUGGGGAAAUUACCAGUGGAGGAUUUAGUCCAUGCUUGAAGAAGAACAUUGCCAUGGGGUAUGUGAAUUCUGGAUACCACAAGGCAGGCACCAAAGUUAAGCUAGUGGUUCGAGGGAAGGCCUAUGAUGGAGUUGUCACAAAAAUGCCAUUUGUACCAACUAAAUAUUACAAGCCAUCUUAACCCAUCUAUGGUGCUGCAGCUCCUUUAUUAUCUAAUCAGUUCCUGUUUAAACUCGAUUACUUUCAACGAGAGUUCCCUCUUUUCUAUCUGCAAGAACUUCAUUCAUUGUGAUGAUUAUGCUUUUUAUUGAUACCAAUUAUGAAUAAUUGCAGCAGUUGCUUCAAUUUGUGAA